GCUCUAGCUUCUCACAGGUGUGCCUGGAGGCCUGGCUCUAGCUUCUCACAGGUGUGCCUGGAGGCCUGGCUCUAGCAUCUCACAGGUGUGCCUGGAGGCCUGGCUCUAGCUUCUCACAGGUGUGCCUGGAGGCCUGGCUCUAGCUUCUCACAGGUGUGCCUGGAGGCCUGGUUCUAGCAUCUCACAGAUGUGCCUGGAGGCCUGGCUCUAGCUUCUCACAGGUGUGCCUGGAGGCCUGGCUCUAGCAUCUCACAGAUGUGCCUGGAGGCCUGGCUCUAGCUUCUCACAGUUGUGCCUGGAGGCCUGGCUCUAGCUUCUCACAGGUGUGCCUGGAAGCCUGGCUCUAGCUUCUCACAGGUGUGCCUGGAUGCCUGGCUCCUGCACAUUUAGAUCUUGUCAAGUUGUCAAUCAACACUACCAUCAGAUAAAGUUUUUAGAAAUAAUUACCUUAGAAAAGAGGAGAGUAUAGUUUUAAAUCUAUCUUUUUAUUUUGCUUAUCUGCUUUUCUUCUGUUGUUGUUGUUGUU
Long non-coding RNA from Acomys russatus (golden spiny mouse), 526 nucleotides. RefSeq lists it as uncharacterized. The transcript has 3 exons. The record is from RefSeq and is a predicted model, not a curated record. NCBI's taxonomy places the organism in Eukaryota, Metazoa, Chordata, Mammalia, Rodentia, Muridae.